AACCUUUUGUAUUUCAUAAGCUUAAUGAUUGGGUUUUCAUAUGCCUGUAAGAUGUACCUCCCUCAAACCUUGUUAUGAUGUUAACACAUUACCUAUCUGAUG
This is a small nucleolar RNA of Lemur catta (Ring-tailed lemur), 102 nucleotides long. RefSeq annotates it as small nucleolar RNA U13. The record is from RefSeq and is a predicted model, not a curated record. Lineage: Eukaryota; Metazoa; Chordata; Mammalia; Primates; Lemuridae. The transcript has a single exon.